RNAcentral lists this long non-coding RNA (518 nucleotides) under Homo sapiens (human). RNAcentral describes it as "non-protein coding lnc-CWH43-4:1". Lineage: Eukaryota; Metazoa; Chordata; Mammalia; Primates; Hominidae. The record is from RNAcentral.
UCAGAAAUAUUCCUCUUCGCUGGAUUCUUUUGAGCAUUCUACCAUUCUAGCCUAGCCCCUACUCCAGAAUUAGGAGGGCAUUGACCCCCAACAGGUAUUUCUCCCCUUGACCCCCUGGAAGUACCUCUCCUGAAUCCAUCUGUAUUACUUGCAUCAGGAGUUUCAAUUACUUGAGCCCAUCACAGCCUAACAAAAAAUAAUCAAAAACAUACAAUCCAAGCACUACUUGUUACAAUUAUAUUAGAUAUUUACUUCACCCUCCUACAAGUCUCAGAAUACUUCAAAGCUCUCUUUGCUAUUUCUGAUGGUAUUUAUGGCUCAACAUUUUUUUAUAGCUACAGGCUUUCACAGAAUUCACGUCAUUAUUGGAUCAACAUUCCUCAGUCUGCCUUCUCCGCCAAUUAAAAUACCACUUUACAUCUAGUCAUCACUUUGCCUUUGAAGCCGCUGCCUGAUAUCGACACUUUGUAGAUGUAGUAUGACUAUUCUUGUAUGUUUCUAUUUAUUGAUGAGGAUCU